RNAcentral lists this ribosomal RNA (624 nucleotides) under Halorubrum sp. 5TL6. RNAcentral's name for it is "bacterial SSU rRNA". It matches the Rfam family "Archaeal small subunit ribosomal RNA", at positions 115 to 738 of the family's 1478-position model. Lineage: Archaea; Methanobacteriati; Methanobacteriota; Halobacteria; Halobacteriales; Haloferacaceae. The record is from RNAcentral.
UUCNNAGCGCAAUANCCUCGGGAAACUGAGGCUAAUAGCGCAUACCAUACCACCACUGGAAUGAGUGGUAUGCCAAACGCUCCGGCGCCGAAGGAUGUGGCUGCGGCCGAUUAGGUAGACGGUGGGGUAACGGCCCACCGUGCCAAUAAUCGGUAUGGGUCAUGAGAGUGAGAACCCAGAGACGGAAUCUGAGACAAGAUUCCGGGCCCUACGGGGCGCAGCAGGCGCGAAACCUUUACACUGCACGACAGUGCGAUAGGGGGAUCCCAAGUGCACAGGCAUAGCGCCUGUGCUUUUCGACACCCUAAGGCGGUGUCAGAAUAAGGGCUGGGCAAGACCGGUGCCAGCCGCCGCGGUAAUACCGGCAGCCCAAGUGAUGGCCGAUCUUAUUGGGCCUAAAGCGUCCGUAGCUGGCCACGCAAGUCCAUCGGGAAAUCCACCUGCCCAACAGGUGGGCGCCCGGUAGAAACUGCGUGGCUUGGGACCGGAAGGCGCGACGGGUACGUCCGGGGUAGGAGUGAAAUCCCGUAAUCCUGGACGGACCGCCGAUGGCGAAAGCACGUCGCGAGAACGGAUCCGACAGUGAGGGACGAANGCCAGGGUCUCGAACCGGAUUAGAUACCC